RNAcentral lists this ribosomal RNA (492 nucleotides) under uncultured bacterium. RNAcentral's name for it is "partial 16S ribosomal RNA". It matches the Rfam family "Bacterial small subunit ribosomal RNA", at positions 29 to 507 of the family's 1533-position model. The record is from RNAcentral.
AUUGAACGCUGGCGGCAUGCUUUACACAUGCAAGUCGAACGGUAACAGGCCUUCGGGUGCUGACGAGUGGCGAACGGGUGAGUAAUGCAUCGGAACGUGCCCAGAGGUGGGGGAUAACGCAGCGAAAGCUGGGCUAAUACCGCAUGUGACCGGAGGAGGAAAGCGGGGGACCAGGCAGCAAUGUUUGGCCUCGCGCCUCUGGAGCGGCCGAUGUCAGAUUAGGUAGUUGGUGGGGUAAAGGCCUACCAAGCCGACGAUCUGUAGCUGGUCUGAGAGGACGACCAGCCACACUGGGACUGAGACACGGCCCAGACUCCUACGGGAGGCAGCAGUGGGGAAUUUUGGACAAUGGGCGCAAGCCUGAUCCAGCAAUGCCGCGUGCGGGAAGAAGGCCUUCGGGUUGUAAACCGCUUUUGUACGGAACGAAAAGGCUCUGGCUAAUACCUGGGGCUGAUGACGGUACCGUAAGAAUAAGCACCGGCUAACUACGUG